This 253-nucleotide ribosomal RNA is filed under the name uncultured bacterium. RNAcentral describes it as "partial 16S ribosomal RNA". It matches the Rfam family "Bacterial small subunit ribosomal RNA", at positions 524 to 776 of the family's 1533-position model. The record is from RNAcentral.
UACGUAGGGUGCAAGCGUUAAUCGGAAUUACUGGGCGUAAAGCGUGCGCAGGCGGUAAUGUAAGACAGUUGUGAAAUCCCCGGGCUCAACCUGGGCACUGCAUCUGUGACUGCAUUGCUGGAGUACGGUAGAGGGGGAUGGAAUUCCGCGUGUAGCAGUGAAAUGCGUAGAUAUGCGGAGGAACACCGAUGGCGAAGGCAAUCCCCUGGACCUGUACUGACGCUCAUGCACGAAAGCGUGGGGAGCAAACAGG